RNAcentral lists this ribosomal RNA (253 nucleotides) under uncultured bacterium. Its description in RNAcentral is "partial 16S ribosomal RNA". It matches the Rfam family "Bacterial small subunit ribosomal RNA", at positions 524 to 776 of the family's 1533-position model. The record is from RNAcentral.
UACGGAGGGUGCAAGCGUUAUCCGGAUUCACUGGGUUUAAAGGGUGCGUAGGUGGGCUAGUAAGUCAGUGGUGAAAUCUCCGGGCUUAACCCGGAAACUGCCAUUGAUACUAUUGGUCUUGAAUUCAGUUGAGGUGGGCGGAAUGUGUCGUGUAGCGGUGAAAUGCUUAGAUAUGACACAGAACACCAAUUGCGAAGGCAGCUCGCUAAACUGACAUUGACGCUGAGGCACGAAAGCGUGGGGAUCAAACAGG